This 215-nucleotide long non-coding RNA is filed under the name Gossypium raimondii (Peruvian cotton). RNAcentral describes it as "long non-coding RNA (GRAI_LNC002314)". The record is from RNAcentral. Lineage: Eukaryota; Viridiplantae; Streptophyta; Magnoliopsida; Malvales; Malvaceae.
CGUCUAUUAUGUAAUUUUGUUCCUUGUAAGGCUCUUUUGUUGGAGAAAGGGUUGGCCAUCUCCCUGGACUGUAUCUGCUGUGGCGAGCUUGAAGAUAUGGAGCACGUCUUUUUUCAUUGUACACGUGCUAUCCAGGUCUGGCAGAUUGUUGGUGUCUCUGUGUCGUAGGCUACCAUCACUGGCUUUGUUGAACAUUAGUUGAUGAUGCACUUGGG